This 261-nucleotide unclassified non-coding RNA is filed under the name fungal sp. RNAcentral's name for it is "partial internal transcribed spacer region". The stretch from base 1 to 46 matches the Rfam family "Eukaryotic small subunit ribosomal RNA", at positions 1786 to 1831 of the family's 1831-position model. Lineage: Eukaryota; Fungi. The record is from RNAcentral.
AAGUCGUAACAAGGUUUCCGUAGGUGAACCUGCGGAAGGAUCAUCAUCGAUUCUAAAGAAGAUGUGCUGGCUUAAUUGCAUGUGCACUCUGAUUUACCUUCAACACUUGUGCACUAUUUUGUAGGCAUGAAGAAAGAGUUUAAUUCAAGUAUUUGUGUCUAUGACUUUUAAUACACUCUUAACUUGUAAAAGAAUGUUCAAGUAGACUUGUUUUAAAGUCGAAACUUAAUACAACUUUCAACAACGGAUCUCUUGGUUCUC